GUGAGUGGCAUACUCUAACUUACUCUGAAGCCCUCCAUAGCUCUAUCCAUGGCUUUCAGGAAAGGCACAAUCCCUUAAGAGACUCAAGCAGCUAUCUGUCUCCUUUCGUUAAGAAUACUAUCACUGAAAAUGUGUCAACUCUAACAAAAUACCUUUUAGUCUGCAGGAUCUGGCUGGCUUUCCAUCAUUAUAGGCUCAAAUUUAAAAGGAUGCCUCUUCCUUUCCCAGACCUUUUUAUACUUUUGUCAGAGCACCCAAUAGUUUGCUUGUCAGAUUCCUAGGGGAAUGCUGAGGGAACUGAUCCUGUCCUCCCAUGAGACUCUCAUCUAAAUCUCUUCCCUCAGCUUUCCCUAUCCUAAGAGAUCCUAUUCUUUGCCAUGCUAUUUUGCUUUCUUUUUUUCCAUUUGCUGAAGACAUUCUCAAAGUGAGGCAUUUGGCCAAUAGGAACACGAUUCAAGUUAUAGGGCUGGGAAUGUGGCUUAGUGGUAGAGUGCUUGCC
This is a long non-coding RNA of Perognathus longimembris pacificus (Pacific pocket mouse), 499 nucleotides long. RefSeq lists it as uncharacterized. The transcript is spliced from 3 exons. Lineage: Eukaryota; Metazoa; Chordata; Mammalia; Rodentia; Heteromyidae. The record is from RefSeq and is a predicted model, not a curated record.